ACUCCCUCCGUCCACUAAUUCAAGGCCUUCUUUCCUUUUUGGGACGUCCACCAACUCAAGACCUAUCCAUUUUUAGUAAGUUUUUAUUUAUAUUUAAUUGGUGGGUCCCAAAACAAUACACUUUUUCUCCACUCAACUAAUAAACAAUAUAUUAAUUGUGGGUCCCUUUCUCCACUCAACUAAUAAAAAUACACUUUUUCUUAAAACCCGUGUUUUGC
Molecule: long non-coding RNA, 218 nt
Filed under: Salvia miltiorrhiza (redroot sage)
Lineage: Eukaryota; Viridiplantae; Streptophyta; Magnoliopsida; Lamiales; Lamiaceae
Description: long non-coding RNA (SMIL_LNC009307)
Source: RNAcentral